GUCGUAAGGGUGCGUAACACGUAUGCAAUCUGCCCUGUACAGGAGGAUAGCUCCCCGAAAGGGGAAUUAAUACUCCGUAAUAUAAUGGUGUGGCAUCACAUUAUUAUUAAAGCUGAGGCGGUACAGGAUGAGCAUGCGCAUGAUUAGUUAGUUGGCGGGGUAACGGCCCACCAAGACGAUGAUCAUUAGGGGAACUGAGAGGUUGAUCCCCCACACUGGCACUGAGAUACGGGCCAGACUCCUACGGGAGGCAGCAGUAGGGAAUAUUGGACAAUGGGUGCGAGCCUGAUCCAGCCAUGCCGCGUGCAGGAAGACGGCCUUCUGGGUUGUAAACUGCCUUUGCCAGGGGAUAAAACGUUCCUGCGGGGAUAAUUGAAGGUACCUGGUGAAUAAGCCACGGCUAACUACGUGCCAGCAGCCGCGGUAAUACGUAGGUGGCAAGCGUUGUCCGGAUUUAUUGGGUUUAAAGGGUGCGUAGGUGGUCUGAUAAGUCAGUGGUGAAAUACGGCAGCUUAACUGUCGAGGUGCCAUUGAUACUGUUAGACUUGAGUACAGAC
RNAcentral lists this ribosomal RNA (557 nucleotides) under uncultured Bacteroidota bacterium. RNAcentral describes it as "bacterial SSU rRNA". It matches the Rfam family "Bacterial small subunit ribosomal RNA", at positions 97 to 653 of the family's 1533-position model. The record is from RNAcentral. Lineage: Bacteria; Pseudomonadati; Bacteroidota.